This 619-nucleotide long non-coding RNA is filed under the name Cyanistes caeruleus (blue tit). RNAcentral describes it as "lncRNA (ENSCCEG00000018681.1)". Lineage: Eukaryota; Metazoa; Chordata; Aves; Passeriformes; Paridae. The record is from RNAcentral.
AUUUUUUGGGAAUUUUUGGGAAUAUUUUUGGGAAUUUUUUGGAAUUUUUUGGUGAAUUUUUUGGGAAUUUUUGGGUUCAUUUCGGGCGAUUUUGGGGUCAUUUCCGGUCCCCUCCCCCCACAAACUCAGCCCCAGCCGCCGGCGCUGACUCAGCGUUUAUUGACACCACGUGACCCGGGAGGGGGCGUGGCCACGCACAAACCACGCCCACAACCCCUAAAUCCCACCCGCUUCCGCAAAAGGGGGGCGGGGCUUACGCCGUACCCGUGGGGGCGAAGCUCCGCCCACAGAGCGCGCAGGAAAAGGGGCGUGGCCCCGCCGCCAUCUUGGAUCCGGCGGCCACGUCGAGCUCCGCCACGUUGGCGUCCGCCAUGUUGUUUUCCAAAAUGGCGGCCACGCCGGCGUCGGCCAUUUUCUUUUCCAAGGCCGGGAUUCCCGCCAUAUUUGCGGCGGCCAUCUUGUUUUCCAAAAUGGCGGCCAUAUUGGUGGCGGCCAUAUUGGUGGCAGCCAUAUUGGUGGCGGCCAUAUUGUUUCGCCCAACAACCGCCAUAUUUCCGGCGGCCAUAUUGCUCCCACCGGCGGCCAUAUUGCUCCCACCGGCGGCCAUAUUACUCCCACC